UAACACAUGCAAGUCGAACGAUGAUGCCCAGCUUGCUGGGUGGAUUAGUGGCGAACGGGUGAGUAACACGUGAGUAACCUGCCCCUGACUCUGGGAUAAGCGUUGGAAACGACGUCUAAUACUGGAUAUGAUCACUGGCCGCAUGGUCUGGUGGUGGAAAGAUUUUUUGGUUGGGGAUGGACUCGCGGCCUAUCAGCUUGUUGGUGAGGUAAUGGCUCACCAAGGCGACGACGGGUAGCCGGCCUGAGAGGGUGACCGGCCACACUGGGACUGAAACACGGCCCAGACUCCUACGGGAGGCAGCAGUGGGGAAUAUUGCACAAUGGGCGAAAGCCUGAUGCAGCAACGCCGCGUGAGGGAUGACGGCCUUCGGGUUGUAAACCUCUUUUAGUAGGGAAGAAGCGAAAGUGACGGUACCUCCAGAAAAAGCACCGGCUAACUACGUGCCAGCAGCCGCGGUAAUACGUAGGGUGCAAGCGUUGUCCGGAAUUAUUGGGCGUAAAGAGCUCGUAGGCGGUUUGUCGCGUCUGCUGUGAAAUCCCGAGGCUCAACCUCGGGCUUGCAGUGGGUACGGGCAGACUAGAGUGCGGUAGGGGAGAUUGGAAUUCCUGGUGUAGCGGUGGAAUGCGCAGAUAUCAGGAGGAACACCGAUGGCGAAGGCAGAUCUCUGGGCCGUAACUGACGCUGAGGAGCGAAAGCAUGGGGAGCGAACAGGAUUAGAUACCCUGGUAGUCCAUGCCGUAAACGUUGGGCGCUAGAUGUAGGGACCUUUCCACGGUUUCUGUGUCGUAGCUAACGCAUUAAGCGCCCCGCCUGGGGAGUACGGCCGCAAGGCUAAAACUCAAAGGAAUUGACGGGGGCCCGCACAAGCGGCGGAGCAUGCGGAUUAAUUCGAUGCAACGCGAAGAACCUUACCAAGGCUUGACAUACACCGGAAACGGCCAGAGAUGGUCGCCCCCUUGUGGUCGGUGUACAGGUGGUGCAUGGUUGUCGUCAGCUCGUGUCGUGAGAUGUUGGGUUAAGUCCCGCAACGAGCGCAACCCUCGUUCUAUGUUGCCAGCGGGUUAUGCCGGGGACUCAUAGGAGACUGCCGGGGUCAACUCGGAGGAAGGUGGGGAUGACGUCAAAUCAUCAUGCCCCUUAUGUCUUGGGCCUCACGCAUGCUACAAUGGCCGGUACAAAGGGCUGCGAUACCGUAAGGUGGAGCGAAUCCCAAAAAGCCGGUCUCAGUUCGGAUUGAGGUCUGCAACUCGACCUCAUGAAGUCGGAGUCGCUAGUAAUCGCAGAUCAGCAACGCUGCGGUGAAUACGUUCCCGGGCCUUGUACACACCGCCC
RNAcentral lists this ribosomal RNA (1335 nucleotides) under Curtobacterium flaccumfaciens. RNAcentral's name for it is "bacterial SSU rRNA". It matches the Rfam family "Bacterial small subunit ribosomal RNA", at positions 49 to 1395 of the family's 1533-position model. The record is from RNAcentral. Lineage: Bacteria; Bacillati; Actinomycetota; Actinomycetes; Micrococcales; Microbacteriaceae.